GUGGUGUGUGUGUGUGUGUGUGUGUGGUGUGUGUGUGUGUGUGUGUGUGUGUGUGUGAUAAAGAAGGUCUUCUUGGGCUUAUUCAACAAGAUAGAAACAUAUUGUAUAGAACUGAUUCAAUGCUUUACUCCACAUGAUAUUAAAAAUAUUGUCUCUUGUACAGCAAUAUAUUUCUAUCCACAGACUGAAUAGGCCCCCUUAGGGACGAGUGGAGAUGUUUUGAUACGGUCUGCGCUCGUCAAUAGCCGACAUCGAAAGUGCAAUCAAUGAGGAGAUUGGAGAGAUUUAUGACUCCAGAGACAAGGUCAUACACUAGAACUGAGGUCUUCAGCCUAUGACUGUGCACUAGAACUGAGGUCUUCAGCCUAUGACUGUGCACUAGAACUGAGGUCUUCAGCCUAUGACGUGCACUAGAACUGAGGUCUUCAGCCUAUGACUGUGCACUAGAACUGAGGUAGCAAAGCAACACGUCCAUUAGGCAUGACCUUUUUGGUUUCUGAGGCAGGAAUUUCGGGAGGACACACAGGAACUGACAUGAUCCCGUUCAGAACCAUAGAGUUCAGAACACUCAAGUAGGAGAACUGCAGUAGUUAUCAAAGCCGGUCCUGGCGGAUCCUUUUGUAUCCAGGUUUUCCUUCCAACCUUCACACAAUUAUAUUCCAUUGAUCUGAUAUGCACUACAUUAUUCAAUUGAUAGAUUGAGUGAAAAACCUACAAGAGUCCUCUUGGACCGGUUAUGAACCUUAUGAACCUCUGUUAAAUAGGUUACGUGUGAAGAGGCCAAGAAAUAUUUUGAUAGAUUUUGUGACAAGGUAGUGCUCUGAUAAAGAGGGUACCAUGUGAGCUUGUGUAGGGGUCCCUGGUUUUAAACUGCCGUAUCUGCCGGUGUGACUGCCCCGCAGUGACAUUCCAAUGCAGAAAGACAACUAACCACUUUUACUCACGACGACUUCACUCACUUUCAAUGGACACGCUUCGCAAUGCCACCGGACAAAAUUUGCAGAACCCCCCAACACCCUUACUCCCCCUCUUCUCUCCUCCAACCACUCUCGCGCUCUAAUCUGAAUAGUUCAAAGUCCACUGCCUCUUAUUAAACGCUGCACUUUUAUGACGCAAGAGGCCUAGGUAAUCGAUAGGAUGGAAAUCUGCACAAAGACAGAGAUCACAAGAUGGUGGAUUGAUAGGCGAGUCGACACUCCAUAUACGUCUACUGAUUAGGAUUAUGCAGAUGGAGAUGGACCACUGAGAUGGCUGCAGUCUGAGAAGGGUGAAAUAUUAAUGUCAGAUUUGGGAUUAAAUCAUAUUGAAAUCUUUCGAACACGUUUGCUCUAGCAUGCUUGGGGUUUUGCAAAUGGAUGUGGUUUGCAGUUAUGGCCCUAUUUUGUCCAUUAAGCCAGGCCAGCUCAAUCAAGCACAGAUAAAGUAUUUGAAAUUAUUUCAAAUAUUAUUUGAUCCUAGGUCUGAUAUAACCASUGGCCCUGAACACUACUCUUUCCCCUUCACAAGUUGAAUGUGGCAAGCAUUUCCCAAAGGUGACGAUUUCAAAGAAAACCAUAGCAUUCUUUUUUUUAAUUUUUUUUUUAAUUUGGAGAGGUUGUGUUUAUGGUGAUGGUAGAUGCAAGAAGAAAGUGUUUUGAGUCAAUAUGUGUAAUUUGCUGUUGUUUGUUCCUGGAACCUUGUGUCAAUUAUAUACGUUGUAAGAUUUUCAA
Molecule: long non-coding RNA, 1709 nt
Organism: Salvelinus sp. IW2-2015
Lineage: Eukaryota; Metazoa; Chordata; Actinopteri; Salmoniformes; Salmonidae
Source: RefSeq, a predicted model, not a curated record